This 501-nucleotide ribosomal RNA is filed under the name Bifidobacterium pseudocatenulatum. RNAcentral's name for it is "bacterial SSU rRNA". It matches the Rfam family "Bacterial small subunit ribosomal RNA", at positions 147 to 660 of the family's 1533-position model. The record is from RNAcentral. Lineage: Bacteria; Bacillati; Actinomycetota; Actinomycetes; Bifidobacteriales; Bifidobacteriaceae.
CUCCUGGAAACGGGUGGUAAUGCCGGAUGCUCCGACUCCUCGCAUGGGGUGUCGGGAAAGAUUUCAUCGGUAUGGGAUGGGGUCGCGUCCUAUCAGGUAGUCGGCGGGGUAACGGCCCACCGAGCCUACGACGGGUAGCCGGCCUGAGAGGGCGACCGGCCACAUUGGGACUGAGAUACGGCCCAGACUCCUACGGGAGGCAGCAGUGGGGAAUAUUGCACAAUGGGCGCAAGCCUGAUGCAGCGACGCCGCGUGCGGGAUGACGGCCUUCGGGUUGUAAACCGCUUUUGAUCGGGAGCAAGCCUUCGGGUGAGUGUACCUUUCGAAUAAGCACCGGCUAACUACGUGCCAGCAGCCGCGGUAAUACGUAGGGUGCAAGCGUUAUCCGGAAUUAUUGGGCGUAAAGGGCUCGUAGGCGGUUCGUCGCGUCCGGUGUGAAAGUCCAUCGCUUAACGGUGGAUCUGCGCCGGGUACGGGCGGGCUGGAGUGCGGUAGGGGAGA